RNAcentral lists this small RNA (781 nucleotides) under Histoplasma capsulatum. RNAcentral describes it as "hypothetical RNA". RNAcentral also lists the same sequence under 1 other name. The record is from RNAcentral. Lineage: Eukaryota; Fungi; Ascomycota; Eurotiomycetes; Onygenales; Ajellomycetaceae.
GUCUAUUUGACCUUGAAGUUGGUCCUUUCAUUAUUUAUGAUGUAAGGUUUUGUUCAGUGCUUGGGGACAAGUGGGAUGUGGUGGAUCAGGACCACCCGCGCUAGCGCCAGAGUUCCCACGCCGCCACGCCUUGACAUCCCUGCCAUGAUCCUGGUAGUCGACGGAGGUCGGUGAACGGAAGCUUACCAUCCCCACCAUCGGUAAAGCCGUUUCAGCCUUCGAAAGAGCUUCGAAGUGGCUUAAGUUGAUAACAUGUUUUCUGGGACCGGCGGAGGAGCUGAAUCAUCCGGGUCAAUAUUAGUACCACUUCCAGGAUGCGAAGGGCGCUAUUGUGAGAAUACCCUCAGAUGCAGAUCCGGGAAUUAUUGCGAGGUGGGGAAAAAGGCGGCUCGGCCCUCUUGACAAACGUGCGACGGAGACCUUGAUAGCUGAUACAGUGAGGUUAUACUAAAGUUGGCUAAUUAUGAAAUAAGGGCAGAGAGCACAGUAUGUUCAAAAAGGCGGGAAGCGAAUCACGCAAAAUAUCAAUGCGCGCGCAGGUGAUCAUAGAGAAGGUCUUGGAUGGAUGGAUGCGCCAAAGGGGAGGGCCAAGCCAAUUGUGACCAACUUCUGAGGUGAACAUGAGAGAAUAAUCAAAGCUGACAUGCAAGGAGACUCGUUUCCCUUGGCCUUAGAAGGUAUACCCUUUUCUCUAAUACUCUCAUUACGUUUCGCUAUAAAACUCGGAGCCAGAAAAUUCGUCCUUUCACGAAAUAUCGCGAGUGCGAAGACAAAUAUCCGC